UACGGAGGGUGCAAGCGUUAUCCGGAUUUACUGGGUUUAAAGGGUGUGUAGGCGGGUCUUUUAGUCAGUGGUGAAAUCUCCGAGCUCAACUUGGAAACUGCCAUUGAUACUAUUGAUCUUGAAUUCUGUUGAGGUGGGCGGAAUAAGUCAUGUAGCGGUGAAAUGCAUAGAUAUGACUUAGAACACCAAUUGCGAAGGCAGCUCACUAAACAGAUAUUGACGCUGAGGCACGAAAGCGUGGGGAUCAAACAGG
RNAcentral lists this ribosomal RNA (253 nucleotides) under uncultured bacterium. RNAcentral describes it as "partial 16S ribosomal RNA". It matches the Rfam family "Bacterial small subunit ribosomal RNA", at positions 524 to 776 of the family's 1533-position model. The record is from RNAcentral.